UCUAAUGUGGCAGAGUAGUGCACUGGACUUAAACCCCAAAUAUAAAGUUUGCCCUUUCUUUAGAA
RNAcentral lists this transfer RNA (65 nucleotides) under Callipogon relictus. Its description in RNAcentral is "tRNA-Leu". It matches the Rfam family "tRNA". Rfam says of the family: Transfer RNA (tRNA) molecules are approximately 80 nucleotides in length. Their secondary structure includes four short double-helical elements and three loops (D, anti-codon, and T loops). The record is from RNAcentral. Lineage: Eukaryota; Metazoa; Arthropoda; Insecta; Coleoptera; Cerambycidae.